GACUUUUUAACUAUAUAAGUAUAUAUUUUGAAAAUAUAAAAAAGAGAAAUUAUCUAUUAGUCU
This 63-nucleotide transfer RNA is filed under the name Haemaphysalis qinghaiensis. RNAcentral describes it as "tRNA-Ser". The record is from RNAcentral. Lineage: Eukaryota; Metazoa; Arthropoda; Arachnida; Ixodida; Ixodidae.